This is a long non-coding RNA of Tachysurus fulvidraco (yellow catfish), 1115 nucleotides long. RefSeq lists it as uncharacterized. Lineage: Eukaryota; Metazoa; Chordata; Actinopteri; Siluriformes; Bagridae. The record is from RefSeq and is a predicted model, not a curated record. The transcript has 2 exons.
AUAAAUUGCUAGAAAAAAAUAAAAAGUGUUUGAAGUUAAAUAAAUGUUCAUUGAUUGAAUUACAAGUGUUCCCCCAUUUUUGCGAGUCAAUUCAGGGGAACUUUAGAAAAAUUGACAAUCCUCCAACACCUUGCUUGUUUGCUUUUACAUGGAAAAGAGAUAUUAGUAGAUUUCCUAAACUCCAGUUUUCAGUAUGAAGUCUUUGCUUUUCACUCUUCAGUGUACAUCAGUUUGUCCUUCUCUCUUUUCCUUUGUGUUGGUGUCCUGGUCACAUUUCAACAGCUCAUGAACAGAAUCUCCACCUUCACACAAAUUCCUGUCUGUGUGGAUGACAUUGUUAUUUAUAAGCUAUCGGGUUCAGUGGUAUCUCAGCUGUUAAGACUCUUGGCUACUGAUUGGAAAGUCAUGAGGUCACAUCCCAGCACUACAAUGCUGCCAUUGUUGGACUCCUGAUAAAUGCCCUUAAUUCUAAACUGCUCAGACUUUUGUUUGAAACUGUAAUUUGUUUUGGAUGAAAGAAUUGGCUAAAUGUGAAUUUCCAGCAGUUUACUGGAAAAUUACAGGAAACUGAUCCAAAUUGUCCCAUAACAACACAUCCAUAAGUGUGUUAUUCCUCUUAUACCAUAACGACUCAGUGUUGUUUGCAGUUUAAAAAGUUGGAUGAAUGACCAUCAGAAACUUUAUCUGUUUAUAAUUACACUUCUGUUGUGGAAUGUCUGUGAAACACUGAGAGACUUGGCAGUGCUGAUGUGUGUACAGUAUAAGCUCUUCAAUAACAGUUGCAUCAAUAACACAUAACACGUGACCAGUGUACGUGACAGCAGUGUUAUAAAAAGGCGAGUAUUUGAGACAGGAGAGCGAGAGACCAGCCGGUUCUUCUACAGAUAAAGAUCUCUGUACAAAGAUCUCCUCCUGUGAUCAUCUCACAUCUACUGAACUCCAACAUCAAGUUCCAGCAGCUUGUGAUUUCUGCUCUCCUGAGAACAACACUCCUCAUCUCACACUCUUCCUCAUCACACACUCCUCCACCGUGUGUCAGGAUGAAGCUUCUCGCUCUGGUGCUCCUGCUCUCCACUUUCUCCUCACUUACCCUGAUGGAGAUUGUGAUGGAUUUC